This 13173-nucleotide long non-coding RNA is filed under the name Phaseolus vulgaris (common bean). RNAcentral's name for it is "long non-coding RNA (PVUL_LNC004565)". The record is from RNAcentral. Lineage: Eukaryota; Viridiplantae; Streptophyta; Magnoliopsida; Fabales; Fabaceae.
AGUUUUCAGUUUUUUGGUGCAGGUGCUUAUGAACCAUAGCAAAUUCGCAUUUCACUUUGAAAGUCUUUUUCGUUUUCAAAAUCAAAAUACUCUGAACAGUAAGUCAUCUCUUUUCUUUUGAUUUUCUUAUAGAUUAGGGUUUUUACUAUGAAAUUUGGGAUUUAAAUCCAUUUAAGGUUUAGGGGUGGCUCCUUUGAUUCUAUUUAACAAAUGCAGUAGCAUUAUACAGAUUUAAAUCCAUUUAAGGUUUAGGGGUGGCUCCUUUUGAUUCUAUUUAACAAAUGCAGUAGCAUUAUACAGGUUUAUGGGUUUCAAAUGAAGUAGAGUUUUUCUAUUUCCUGUUUUUUAAUUUCAAUUUCAACUUUUAGUCAUUAUUUAUUGUUUCUAUUUGUUUUAUUUCUGUACAGGUUCUGCAGAGUAAUUUGUUGUGCCAUCAUUGCAUACUGAGUUGUUGGUUGUUCUUUAAUAAUUUAAGCUGUGGAAUUCAAGAUACACUUUUUUACAGUUGGUAGUAAUAUUAAAGCUCACUAUUUGGGGUACAGGUAACAGAUCUAUAGUUUUUAAUCAUAUUUUCUGCUAUUUAUUUUUUUUCUGAAGGAUUUUAUCAUACAUAUUUAUGAAGAUAAAAAAUUUGGAACGCUUGCUACUCCUAUAUAAUUAUUGUUUAUCUUGAAGUCUAUAUCUUUUAAGCUUUGUAAGCUUGAUUGCAUCAUGUACGCAGUUACUGUAUCUCUGUGUAUUGAAUUUAUGAACCACUAUGUGAACUGAAUUUAUGAACCACUGUGAUAUAUCUUGUCAGUUAGAGGCUUUGUAUUCUAACUAAAUAAUUAUUUUACCCUUAACUAUCUAACUAAAUAAUAACUAGUUUACCCUUAAUGGCAACAUGAGUGUUUAACCCUCUUAUAAAUCCCCUGUAGACGGCCCCAAAACCUCCCUCUCCUAUUUUGCUGAAGACGAGAACACAAGCUGAAACCAUUUGAAUAGAUACAGAAUGAGUGAAACAAGCAUAAUACAACACCAAUGCAGUAAAAUGCAUGAUCGACUUCGCAAGACACUUCAAGGAGUUAAUGGGUAAACAAGAAAUGGUAACAUGUAGACUUAAUACUUCCCCAUUUACCCAAUUAUAUGAAUAACAAUAAAAACAUAGUGAGAAGUUUAAACAUCCUAGAAAAACAACAUAAACUACAGCAGCAAAAGCAAAUAGGAAACAAAACUGCAUAAAAAGCAAAGGGGCAUAAAAAAUUUCAACUUACAUAAUAAUAAUAAUAUUUGCACACCCUUGCUUCCAACCUUGUCUCCAUGUGUUCUGCUCCUUGUUCAGCCACAACAACCACACUCAAAUUGGUGUUUUUGUAUAAGCCGAAGAGUAUGUGAAAUGUGCAAAAAAAAGUUCUUUUGACAGUGUAUGGUUGUUACAAAUAAAUAUGAUAUCACAAUUAAUAGACAUAACUUUUUUAAAAUUUUAAAUGAAAAUAUAAAAUAUUCAUUACAUUCAAAUUGAUAAAAACUAAAAUAUCCAACAAUAAAUUCAAACAUGCAUAUAUGAGAUGAGAUUUAAUUCUACUUCAUAACAUUUAACUACACAAGUAUUUGAAAAAUUACAAUAAAUGGUCUUUAAUAUCUUCAAGAAUUUUGAUCAUGCAAAAUAAACCACUAAUAUCAAUAAAAAAAUAAUUAAUAAUAUUUUAGAAAUGUAAAAUGUAAUUAUAGACAUAGUAAUGGAACAACUUAAAUAAUAACACAACUUAGUGAAGGAACAUUUGAAUUGUUAAAUGAUAAAACUCCUAAUAAAGUAGUCAUUUGACGUUUCAGCUCCCUUUCAAUCUCUUGUUUCAUUUGGUCAUGUUGAGUUUUCACAAAAAGUUUUUAUCCUCAAUUAAUAGACUUUGAGAUUUCAAUUCACUUUGAAGUUGAAUGUUAGCCUCUUCUUGUUGUUGGAUUAUGCAUUCCUCACUCUAAAUCAUUUGCUCUUUUUUGUGCAUUCUCCACUUGACUUUGAACAAAUUGUCUCUCUACAUUUUCCUUUUGUCAUUGAUACACUUCCUAUACCUUGUGAGUGAUUUGGUUUUGUUCCUAGUACAUAUGCAAAAUGUUUAACCAAUGGCACAUGUGCUUUUGAAAUUUCUUCUCCAUACACUUCACCCACAUUUUUCAAAUUUUCCUACACAAUGUUAACACAAAUUAAAUAACAUUGGCAACUCGCUUUGCAUUAAAUCAUUACACUACUAGAGAAAUAAAAUUUAAAUGAUGUGAACUUUUUAUUUACAAUUGUGCUCUAAUUCAAGUGUGCAACAAUUAAGUUUCAUAUUAAGUAGCAUAGUAAUUUAGGUGUGCAACAAUUAAGUUACAUAUUUCAACUUACAAUUUUUAUCCAUAAUUCAAAUAUCUAUACUAAAAUUGUAAAAGUUUUUUUUUUAUCAGCAAAGAAUAAAAUAAAAUUAAAAGGGAUACUUAAGGGUUAUUCCAACCCAUAUACAAAACCGAGCUCCUCACAGGAGGGAUCCAUAGUCAACAUUACAAACCAUGAUCCAGAAAAAACCAGCAGCAACCAAUUGCUAAAGAUAUACAAGGCUACACCCAUAAACACCCUAUUAUUAAAAGCUGUUAAAGAAAACCCUGCUGCUUGUAGGUUUGUCCUCUUCUCAAACCCAAACUCUCAAGCACUAUAUAGCUUCUAUACUCCCUAUAGUUGAAGCUAUAGCAUAAAACACAUGUUUCUCCUCAGUAGAAUUCUUUCUUCCCCAUCCUUCGUACCAGAAAACCAUCAUGCCCCAUCCUCCCAUGAUUUCCUUUACUGCCAGGACACUUCAGAACCUCCACAUGUUGUUCACGCUAAACUUCAUAGUCAACCUAACUCCAGCAUUGCUUGCACCCGUUUGAACCUCCUCCUAGUUGUUCUGCUUCACCUUUACGCACCCCCCCCCCCCCCCCCAACAGGGGAUUAUUCACACAUAACAGUAGCCAAACUGCUAGUCCUUCACAAAACCAAUUGCUGGACCUGCUCACGUCAGAGUCCACUCUGUUGUGAUUGAAACACUGUUAUGGGCACUAGUCUACCAUCCCACGUACCCUUAUUUGAUCCAACCUAGCUUGCUCACCACGUGCUCAACAAAAUUACCCUUAGCAAAACCAGCACAGAACAUACCAAAGGCUAAUGAUUGACCUCACAACCAAAUCAUCAUAAUUUUGCACUUUAUUCUUCUAACACUAACAGAAUUAAUUGAGCACAGUCCAGCCAUCGAACAAACUGGAAAUUUGCAGUGUGACACUCCAUUAGGCUACAAAUUAGCUUCUGUAUUACUCCACAGUUGUUACACAAACUGCUUUGCAUUCACAACACUUGCAACCGCAACAUUUCCAUCUAUGCAUCACCUCCACUGCUUCGUGUCUUCAUAUGUUCAUACUUCUCGUACACAAACUUGCUUCUGUUCAGGCAACUGAUAGAUGAAUAAUUCACCCUAUCUAGCUAUUUCCUGCACCAGCCCAUCAAUCUAGACGUUAUUCCAGCUCACUAAAACAUGCAGCUCCCAUUCUACCUGUAUUCCUUCAACAUACCAAAAGGAGAACUUGGCCCUCAUCACCAUCACUAACGACAAUUCUGUAAGCAGAUACCCGGAUUAAGAAUCCAAUUCGAGAAGGCGAAGUCGAAAGGGAAGGCCCCAUGUUUCAACAUUAGCCACGCUGCCAACUGGGCUAGGUGGACAAUUUCAUCAGCAUCAGCUACCCCUUGCUUAAAAACAAUCAAGUUCCUUUGAUCCCACAGAUUCUGACUAACUGUGAAGUGUGGUAACUGAAAGCUCUCAAAGUGGACUAGAAUGUCCUUAUGCUGGACAAACAAUAUGCCUAUCCAUCUAAAACAUAAAGACCAAACACUCUGAGCAAGGAUGCAAUCCAGGAAGAUGUGUUGUGCCGAUUCUUCAGACCCAUUACAAAACACGCAGGACGAAGAGGUGACUACCAAACCUCUUCGAAUGAGAUUAUCAUAAGUUGGAAGGCGUCCAAGUAAGAUCCUCCAUGCAGUUACCAGGGCUUUGGGCAUCGCUUUUGCUUCCCACAGAAGAGAAAAGACUUCAUUUGAAAAGCCUACAUGCUGAUGAGGUAAAUUCAGAUAAGCAGAUUUCACUGAAAAAUCACCAUUCUGAUCCCCACUCCAAACUAAAGUAUCCUUGGCUUCUUUGCUCAAGGUCUUCCCUGUUAUGAGAUUAAGCAAUUCUCCCUCCAUAGCACUCUCCCAACUAAACCUAGCUCUUCUCCACCUUAACCACCAAUUCCAAUCUGAAUCCUCCCAAGAACCUACCUUAGCCACCGUCUUUCCUUGGUCCAGGGAGACGGAAAAAAGCCUGGGAAACAAGGUUUUAAGCUUUUUGUUCUCCACCCAAGCGUCUUCCCAAAAUCUAACUUUAACCCCGGACCCGACCUUCCAAGCUACAUGUUUUUGAAGCCAUCCCUCCUCUUCUCCCUCCUCAUACACCUUUGAUAGAUCUUUCCGCCACCAAGAAAGAGUCUUAUUAUUACUUACUGUACCAGGACUGUACUUCGAUAGUAAAAUGUCUUUCCAUUUCCCCUUUUCCUCACUCAGCAGCCUCCAUUUCCACAUUGCUAGCAAGGCACAGUUGAAUAUUCUAAUAUCCUUGAUCCCCAAACCCCCUUCCUCCUUUGGCUUACACACGUUUUCCCAGCUUACCCAAGAGAUAUGCCUAUGAUCGUCACCCCCUGUCCACAAGAAUCUCCUCUGAAUGCUAGAGAUUUUGUGGCAGACUGCAUGUAGGGCUUUAAAGAGAAAAACAUAAAACAGGGGUAUAGAGGUUAGAAUCGACUUAACCAGGCAUACUCUACCAGCUAAGGAUAGGCAUUUCCCUUUCCAGGCACUAAGUCUGGUUUUAACCUUGUCCACAACUGGUUCCAAAAACUGCCUCCUCCUUGGAUUGCCACCAACUUGCAUCCCCAAGUAUUUAAACGGGAUCUGGAUAACACCACAGUUAAGAGUUCUUGCAUAUAGCUCUAGGGAAUUCCUUUCUACCUUGAUACCUGACAACUUUGAUUUAUGAAAGUUAACCUUGAGGCCUGAACCUAGCUCGAAAAUCCUGAGGAUUGUUUUGAUUGUAAAAAUAUUAGAGACAGACUGUUCACACAUAAACAAAGUGUCAUUAGCAAACUGUAACAUGCAACAUUCAGUCUGCGCUCUCCCCACCUUCACUCCUUUUAACACGUUCUCCUUUAAUGCAUUACGGACUAGACCCGCCAACCCCUCGGCAACAAUAAGAAAUAAAAAAGGGGCCAAAGGAUCGCGUUGCCUCAGACCCCUAAAAGGUUUAAACUCCUCUGUCGAACUACCAUUAAUCAAAACCAACACAGUUGCCAACUCCAGACAACCAUGUACCCACUUAAUCCAUCCUAUGCAACAUAUCCAACAAGAAGCUCCACCUAACCGAGUCAUAUGCCUUUUCAAAGUCCACCUUCAAGAAAACUCCACUCCUCCUCAAACUUUGAUUUAUGAAAGUUAACCUUGAGGCCUGAAGCUAGCUCGAAAACCCUGAGGAUUGUUUUGAUUGUAAAAAUAUUAGAGACAGACUCUUCACACAUAAACAAAGUGUCAUCAGCAAACUGUAACAUGCAGCAUUCAGUCUGCGCUCUCCCCACCUUCACUCCUUUUAACAUGUUCUCCUUUAAUGCAUUACGGACUAGACCCGCCAAACCCUCGGCAACAAUAAGGAAUAAAAAAGGGGCCAAAGGAUCGCCUUGCCUCAGACCCCUAGAAGGUUUAAACUCCUCUUUGGACUACCGUUAAUCAAAACCGACACAGUUGCCGACUUCAGACAACCUUGUACCCACUUAAUCCACUUACUAUGGAACCACUUAAUCCACUUACUAUGGAACCUCAUCCCAUGCAACAAAUCCAACAAGAAGCUCCACCUAACCAAGUCAUAUGCCUUUUCAAAGUCCACCUUCAAGAAAACUCCACUUCUCCUCAAACUUUGAUUUAUGAAAGUUAACCUUGAGGCCUGAAGCUAGGUUGAAAACCUUGAGGAUUGUUUUGAUUGUAAAAAUAUUAGAGACACAUUCUUAACGCAUAAACAAAGUGUCAUCAGCAAACUAUGACAUGCAUCAUUCAGUCUGCGCUCUCCCCACCUUCCCUCCUUUUAACACGUUCUCCUUUAAAUGCAUUACGGACUAGACCCGCCAACCCCUCGACAACAAUAAGGAAUAAAAAAGGGGCCAAAGGAUCGCCUUGGCUCAGACCCCUAGAAGGUUUAAACUCCUAUGUCGGACUACCGUUAAUCAAAACCGACACAGUUGUCGACUCUAAACAGCCUUGUACUCACUUAAUCCACUUACUAUGAAACCCUAUCCUAUGCAACAUAUCCAACAAGAACCUCCACCUAACCGAGUCAUAUGCCUUUUCAAAGUCCACCUUCAAGAAAACUCCACUCCUCCUCAAACUUUGAUUUAUGAAAGUUAACCUUGAGGCCUGAAGCUAGCUCGAAAACCCUGAAGAUUGUUUUGAUUGUAAAAAUAUUAGAGACAGACUCUUCACACAUAAACAAAGUGUCAUCAGCAAACUGUACAGCAUUCAGUCUGCGCUCUCCCCACCUUCACUCCUUUUAACACGUUCUCCUUUAAUGCAUUACGGAAUAGACCCGCCAACCCCUCGGCAACAAUAAGGAAUAAAAAAGGGGCCAAAGGAUCACCUUGCGUCAGACCCCUAGAAGGUUUAAACUCCUCUGUCGGACAACCGUUAAUCAAAACCGACACAGUUGCCGACUCCAGACAGCCUUGUACCCACUUAAUCCACUUACUAUGGUACCCCAUCGUAUGCAACAUAUCCAACAAGAAGCUCCACCUAACCGAGUCAUAUGCCUUUUCAAAGUCCACUUUCAAGAAAACUCCACUCCUCCGACAUCUUCGUACCUCCUCAAUCUCUUCGUUGCCCAUUAGGACACUUUCCAACAUCCCCCUUCCUUUCAGAAAAGCUGACUGAGUUUCAUCAAUAACCAAAGGCAAGACAUUCUUGAUACUAUGUGACAUUGCUUUAGUGAUGAUCUUAUACAUAGCUCCCACGAGAGAAAUAGGCCUGAAUUGGUCAAUCAUAACAUGAUCCUUCACUUUAGGGACAAGAGCAAUAAACGACGCAUUACAACCCUUCGGGAAAAUCCCACAUUCCUGAAAACAAGAAAAAAAAAUUUAAAUCUAUUAAAAUUAAAGCAAAAGUACUUUUUUUACUUACCAUAAUUUCUUCUCCAUUAGGAAUACAUCAAGUGUCAUCAGAUCUCAUACGUGUAUCCUUCCAUACUUUCAUUGCAUUCGGUCAUUCCUCACUUUUUAAUUCUUCUUUCUAUUGAAAACAAAUAAAUAAGGUAAUAUAAUUAUACAUUAAAUAAAAGAACAAAAACAAACUUGUAUAUGUGGAACAUAAAGAAAUCAUAUAAAACCGAUAUAAAAGUUGCACAAAUUUCUAUAUAUGAAACAAAAAAGUAACAUUAUCAAUUCAAAUGUGUUUUUAUAAUUGAUUUUGUGCCAAUAAUUGAUCUAAUUUCUUGUUUACUUCGACUAGCUUUAUUUUUUAAGUUCAUUUCCUAUAAAUGUAGAAAUAAUUUAAUAUUAUAAUACAUAAAAAAUAAAAUUCAAAUUUAAGAUAUAGAUAUAAAUAUACAAAGAAAGUAACCUUAUCUUAAAUUUGGAAUCAUUUCAUUUGUUAUGUAUUAGCAAAUUCCAAUCUUCGGGUAAUACAUCAUGUGACCUACCUUUGUUUUAGAUGUAUUUUUUUAUACAAAUGGUGAUGUCUAUUUCUAUAUUGCUUUUGAAAAUGUUUUAUUGCAUGUUCUUUAUCCUCUUCCAUCAAACAUAAUGCAUCCUAAAGCCAUGAAGUUAAAAAAAAGUACCAAAUAAUCAAAAUACAUUAAGUAUAUAAAUAAAAUUAAUUGAGUACACUUAUAUGAAUAGAGUAAUACUAACCUUCAUAUGUUUCCACAUUAGAGUUAAAUCAUCUUCAUAUAUAUUUUUCUAAGUUUUAACUUAUUAAGGAGUCUUUUGACCUAUACACAUAGUUGCUUCAACCUUGAGAUAUUUUGCACGUUUUCCACAAAGCUUAAAAUGGGGAGGUGGAAAUUGGAUGUCAAAAGUAUUUCCCAUUACCAUUAACUUUUCUCUUUUCUUUGAGAGUUUUGCAUUAAUGGUAUGUCCACCUCGCUUCUUAACACCAUGUUGACCUAAAUUAAAUUAGGAAAAUAAAUCAAUACCAAUUUUAAUAAUUAUUUAUUCAAUCUAAAUAAACAUGUACAAAUACUUGUACUGGUUUCAUGUUGCUCAACAUUAACCAACUCAGAGACAUUGACCCUUUUAGAAUUUAAUUUUAAUGGUUUUGUUAUCUAUAAAAUAUGAAAGUAAAUAAUCACAAAAGUUUAAGAAUGAGUUACCCUAUCAACCUAAAUUAGAUACAUGUUACUUGUGUAAUUAAACUAAAAAUAAACAUUUAUACGUUUAAAGAAACUCAUUACAUACCUUUUUUUAUUGUAUUUUUCAUCUUCACUUGAAUAUUGAAACUCUUCUAAUUCUUUGGUUCUAUACUCUUCAUCUCUUUCUUUUCCCUUCUUGUUCUUGGUAUUUUAAGUUAGGACUUUCAAAGAAUAAGCUAAAUGUGAUAAUCCGAAAGCCUCUAGUUUUGCUUUGUUUUCUACAAUUCUUUGUAGCCUUUGUUCUUAUUUAGACAUGUCUCCUGCAAACAAAAAGCUAGGAUGCUUUCUCACUUGAAGAUGGAUCUACGUUAAAGUGAACUUUAGCUUAUACUUGGCCAAGUCAAAUAAUAAACUAAACUAAAAUAAAUAAGCCAACAAGAAAUAACAAACAGUUCCCAUCAUUGAAAUAACAAGCAUUGUUUACAUCAUUUAGAACUUAUUGAUAUAGUAGUGUAAUGAUUUAGUGCAAGGCUAGUUGUCAAUGUUAAUUAUUUUGUGCUAACAUUAUGUAGGAAAAUUUGAAAAAUGUGGGUGAAGUGUAUGGAGAAGAAAUUUCAAAAGCACAUGUGCUAUUAGUCAAACAUUUUGCAUAUGUACUAGGAACAAAACCAAGCAAAUGUGGAUGUAUUUUUCAAAUUUUCCUACAUAAUGUUAGCAUAAAAUAAUUAACAUUGGAAACUAGCCUUGCAUUAAAUCAUUACACUACUAUAUAAAUAAGUUGUAAAUGAUGUGAACAAUGCUUGUUAUUUCAAUGAUGUGAAUUGCUUAUUAUUUCUUGUUUUCCUAGCUUUUUGUUUGCAUGAGACAUGUCUAAAUAAGAAGAACAAAGGCUACAAAGAAUUGUAGAAAACAAAGCAAAACUAUAGGCUUUCGGAUUAUCACAUUUAGCUUAUUCUUUGAAAGUCCUAACUCAAAAUACCAAGAAAAAGAAGGGAAAAGAAAGAGAUGAAGAGUAUAGAACCAAAGAAUUAGAAGAGGUUCAAUAUUCAAGUGAAGAUGAAAAAUACAAUAAAAAAAAGGUAUGUAAUGAGAUUCUUAAAAUGUAUAAAUUUUUAUUUUUAGUUUAAUUACACAAGUAACAUGUAUCUAAUUUAGGUUGACAGGGUAACUCAUUCUUAAACUUUUAUGAUUAUUUACUUUCAUAUUUUAUAGAUAACAAAACCAUUAAAAUUAAAUUCUAAAAGGGUCAAUGUCUCUGAGUUGGUUAAUGUUGAGCAACAUGAAACAAGUACAGGUAUUUGUACUUGUUUAUUUAGAUUGAAUAAAUAAUUAUUAAAAUUGGUAUAGAUUUAUUUUCCUAAUUUAAUUUAGGUCAACAUGUUGUUAAGAAGCGACGUGGGCAUACCAUUAAUGCAAAACUCUCAAAGAAAAGAGAAAAGUUAAUGGUAAUGGGAAAUACUUUUGACAUCCAAUUUCCCCCUCCCUAUUUUAAGCUUUGUGGAAAACAUGCAAAAUAUCUAUACAUCAAAAGGCUCAUUUACAAGUUAAAACUUAGAAAAAGAUAUAUGAAGAUGAUUUAACUCUAAUGUGAAAACAUAUGAAGGUUGGUAUUACUCUAUUCAUGUAAGUGUACUCAAUUAAUUUUUAUUUAUAUAUUUUGAUUAUUUGGUAUUGUUUUUAACUUCAUGGCUUUAGGAUGCAUUAUGUUUGAUGGAAGAGGAUAAAGAACAUGCAAUGAAACGGUUGCAAAAGCAAUAUAGAAAUAGACAUCACCAUUUGUAUAAAAAAAAUACCUCCAAAACAAAGGUAGGCCACAUGAUGUAUUACCCGAAGAUUGGAAUUGGCUAAUACAUAACAAAUGGAAUGAUUCCAAAUUUAAGAUAAGGUUACUUUAUUUAUAUAUCUUAAAUUUGAAUUUUAUUUUUUAUGAAUUAUAAUAUUAAAUUAUUUCUACAUUUAUAGGAAAAGAGUUUGAAAAAUAAAGCUAGUUGAAGUAAACAAGAAAUUAGAUCAAUUAUUGACACAAAAUCAGUUGUCCAAAACACAUUUGAAUUGGUAAUAUUACUUUUAUGUUUCAUAUAUAGAAAUUUGUGCAAAUUUUAUAUAGGUUUUAUAUGAUUUCUUUAUGUUCCACAUAUACAAGUUUGUUUUAGUUCUUUUAUUUAAUGUAUAAUUACAUUACCUUAUUUACUUGUUUUCAAUAGAAAGAAGAAUUAAAAAGUGAGGAAUGACCGAAUGCAAUGAAAGUAUGGAAGGCUACAUGUAUGAGAUCUGAUAACACUUGAUGUAUUCCUAAUGGAGAAGAAAUUAUGGUAAGUAAAAAAAGUAAUUUUGCUUUUAUUUUAAUAGAUUUAAAAUUUAUAUUUUUUUUCUUGUUAACUUUUAUAAUUUUAGUAUAGAUAUUUGAAUUAUGGAUAGAAAUUGUAAGUUGAAAUAUGUAACUUAAUUGUUGCACACCUAAAUUAUUAUGCUACUUAAUAUGAAACUUAAUUGUUGCACACUUGAAUUAGAGCACAAUUGUAAAUAACAAGCAAUGUUCACAUCAUUUAAAUUUUAUUUCUAUAGUAGUGUAAUGAUUUAAUGCAAGGCUAGUUGUCAAUGUUAAUUAUUUUGUGUUAACAUUGUGUAGAAAAAUUUGAAAAUGUGGGUGAAGUGUAUGGAGAAGAAAUUUCAAAAGCACAUGUGUCAUUGGUUAAACAUUUUGCAUAUGUACUAGGAACAAAACCAAAUCACUCACAAGAUAUAGGAAGUGUGUCAAUGACAAAAAGAAAAUGUAAAGAGACAAUUUGUUCAAAAUCAAGCGGAGAAUAAAAAAAAAGCAAAUUAUAACAAUAAUGAUUAAGACAAUUAAAACAAACAUGUACUAGACAAUUUAACUUGUGUUAACACUAUUAAAUUGCUCCUAGUAGAAAGUCUUUUCUUUUUCAGGUUAGAUCAUGUGACUAAGCUAUUCAACAAAGAGUCUCUUGUACAUGAUGAUUUAGAGUAAAUCUUGUAAUGCUUAUAAAAAAUUAAACAAAGGCAGGGAACAUUGUGAAUUCACGUGCUUGUAUUACUUCAAAUUCAAUAUCUGCUCAGUUCCAUGAUCAAUGACGCUCAUGGAUAUCAUAUCUGGGCGCUGCAUAGCUUUACUAUUUCAGUUGUUUGAAACCCGUUAAACUGGUUGUACCGUGGACUCCCAACAAAGUGAAUUAGUAGUAGUUCUCUUUCACAUAUGAUCAAAUUUUAUGGAAUAAAUGAAAAAAUGGAAAACAUUGUGAGGAUAUUAGAACAUGGAAAAUACUUCACAGUUCAAAAAUAUCAAAAUAAUAAUUCAAAGAUAACAAAAAAUUCAAGAAAAAACAUUAAGAGAAUUUUUAUCAAUAAGCAUAAGCUUCUAUUUUAAAUUAGUCUAAAAGUUAUUUAUAAAGGUCAACAAAAUCUUAUUUAUACUAUGAAUCUAAUACUACUUGAUUUCUUUACUAACUAGCUGAUCCAAUAACAUCUAAUAAUUAUAAUGAAAUUAAUGUCCGAAUAAGGUUCUAAUUAGCAAAUCAUAUAUAAUCAAAUACAUAGGUCUAAUAAAACCCAACACAAAACCCACAAACUUUUUUGGAAUUAAAUAUGUUUUUCAUUCUUGAACUAUAACGCGAAAUUGAUUUUUUUUUCCAAAAUUAAGUUUCUUAAAUACUUGUAGUAAGAAAAUUAUUGAAAUAGAUAUUUAUUUUUACGUAACAAGAAUUUUCAUGUAUUACAAUUUACAAUUUGAUAACAUUCACAUGUAUUAUAAUAUUAUAAAAAUCUAUGUCACUAAUGAGUUAACAUGAAAUAUUUUAACAUCACAAUGCACACUGAAAAUCUAUUUGCUAUGUAAACAAAAAAACUGGUAAGAACUCAUACCAAUAAUUUUCUUACUACAAGUAUGUAGGAGAUACAAAAUUUAGACUAAGAACGAAAAUUAAUUUCGCGUGAAAAUAUAGGAACAAAAAAAUUUAGAUAUGUGAUAUCAAAUACAUCUAUGAUAUGAUAUGUGUUUUUAGGGACAAAAUGUUAUAUAUAUAUAUAUAUAUAUAUAUAUAUAUAUAUAUAUAUAUAUAUCAAAUACAUCAUGAUAUCUAUAUUUGAAAAUUUUAGAUUAAUACAAUUGUUGUGUUAAAUAACGAAAACAAAGUUUGAUCCUACAACUUCAUUAAAACUAUCCAAAUUCCUAACUCGUAAACUGACUCAAGUGAGUUAUCCCAAAUUCCCAACAACCAUAUUAGGGUGUUUGGAAUCCUAUUGGAUUGCAAUUGAAUUGAGUUUUUGCACUUUCCAAUGCACAAUCAUAAAAACAAUGUGAGUGUUGAAAUAGGUUAAGUUGAACAUAAUAGAUAUCCAAACCAACUUAUUCUAUUCCAUUUCAUUCUACUAUACUUCAUUCAAAAUUGGAUAUCCAAACCAAGCACUAGUUCUUGCCAACCAUGCCUGCUGAAAAUUUCAAAGUUGAUAUCAUAUAUAUUAACUGUCAUUCAUCAAAUAAUCUUUUCUUACUUCACUGUUUGAAACAACAAUCUGAUUAUGUUUUACAACAGGGAAAGGGAGCAGAUAGACAAAAUAAUGGAUGCCUAUUCUAAACUUUACAUGAUGCUCCACAUCCAUGCAAGGGAGAGAAUGUUUCCGUCAAGUUGCCUGCAACAAUUCUCUGAUAUCGUACCCUUGAAGCUAUAAUUACAAACAGCAGAAGAAGUAUUCUUAAUAUUGAAUAAAAGAUGAUUGUAAAAACUAUCAGAAUUUGCAAACACGGAGUGAUAAUUAAUACCUG